GCUUCCUGGCCAGUAAUCCUUUCAAGUCUCCAGGGUGCUUGCAACCAUCCUCACCUCUUCCCAGGGGAAAGAUUCUGCCCUGGGAGAUUCUCUCCUUGCCAUGGGGAUGAGGACAAAUUCUCCCUUCCUCCUUGAGAUUGGACUCCCGCCACACAUCCUGGAGGAGCCUACAGAGAAGCCGGCAGGUCUCCCUCACCUGGAUGGUGGCAGUGGGGGGCCUGGACCACCCAGAGGCCCUCCCCUGCACCUGACGGGAAGCCCCUGGGGCAUAAGUCUCCCCUGCCACUUCCACUGUGGUCACUAGAAGUGUGGCGGAGAAAAUCGCUAGGACAAAAAGAAGUCAAUGAUUUCAACCAGUGGAAUUUCUUUGUCCUUUGUAAAAGUCAACACAUGAUCUGUUACUGAUUGGGAUGUGAAAUAAAACUAAAAAUAACAGCACACUGAGCCUGGCUCAGGGCUCAGCUCACCUUUA
This 472-nucleotide non-coding RNA is filed under the name Pongo abelii (Sumatran orangutan). The record is from RNAcentral. Lineage: Eukaryota; Metazoa; Chordata; Mammalia; Primates; Hominidae.